GUUCAAAGCUAAUCCCACUAGCGAUGUACUUUUUAUCUGAGCUCACAUUACAGCUAGAGAACCAGUUGAAAAUAACAUGGCCUUCUCUUCUAGUCCUUGAAGCCUGAUCUACACUCAUCUUAACCAGACUACUACUGUUUAAGUAUCGGUUACAUCAUGGGAAGUCCUUGUGGAGGAGCAAAUGCUGGUGCACUAGGCAUUUUUUUGUCCACCACAAUCGCUUGAGUAGUGAGAACCAUUCCUGCAACUGAGGCUGCAUUCUGCAAGGCACAUCUUGUUACCAUGGCUGGAUCGAUGACACCAGCUUCUACUAAAUCCUCAUACUUGUCGGUCAUUGCAUUGUAACCCAUCUUCCAUUUGCUGCCCUUUAUCUUCUCCACUACUACUUCCCCUUCAACCCCAGCAUUCUGAGCAAUCAAAGAUGCCGGAGCUACUAAUGCCUUCUGCACAAUGUCAGCGCCCAACUUCUCAUCAGGAUCUUCAAGAUUGUCCUUAAUGGCAGGGACAUAAUUUGAUAGAUGAACCAACGCAGCACCACCACCAGGUACAAUUCCCUCUUCAAUUGCAGCGAAAGUUGCAUUUUUGGCAUCCUCAAUUCUAAGCUUGCGGUCCUCAAGCUCAGCUUCUGUUGCAGCACCAACCUUUAUAACAGCAACACCUCCAGACAACUUUGCAAUUCUCUCAGAAAGUUUCUCGGAGUCCGACACUGAUUCUGACAUGUCCAACUCCUUUUUAAUCUGAGAAAUCCUAGCCUGUAUCUCGUCCUUCGACACAUCAUCAGCAAGGAUGGUUGUUGAGUCCUUGGUGAUAGUCACCUUUCUAGCAAAACCUAGUGCUUCGACCGGGGUACUCUCAACAGGCAUACACAAAUCAGCUGCCUGGUACUCGGCUCCUGUUACAAUGGCAAUAUCUUGAAGAAGAGCCUUCCUCCUUUGACCAAAACCAGGUGCUCUGAUGGCAGCAACAUUUAGUAUACCUCGCAGCUUGUUCACAAUAAGAGUAGCUAAAGCUUCUCCAGUUACUUCUCCAGCAAUAAUGAGUAGAGGGGCUCGUAAUUGAGUUGCCUUCUCCAAGAGGGGCAUAAUAUCCUUGAUUGCUGAAAUAUCGUGAUCUGUAACCAACACUCGAGCAUUCUCAAAUUCAACAACUAGUUUCUCCUGAUUGGUGAUGAAUUGUGGGGAAAUAUAUCCCUUAUCAAUCUCCAUCCCCUCUUCAACACGAACAGUGGUUUCAAAGGAAGAGGAUGACUCAAUCGAUAGAACACCAUCAGGUCCAACUUUGUCAAUUGCAUCAGCAAUCAUGGUUCCAAUCUCAUCAUCAUUUCCAGCAGAGAUAGAAGCAAUAGCUUUGAUGUCAUCACGACCUU
Molecule: unclassified non-coding RNA, 1366 nt
Filed under: Hevea brasiliensis (rubber tree)
Lineage: Eukaryota; Viridiplantae; Streptophyta; Magnoliopsida; Malpighiales; Euphorbiaceae
Source: RNAcentral